RNAcentral lists this ribosomal RNA (402 nucleotides) under uncultured bacterium. Its description in RNAcentral is "partial 16S ribosomal RNA". It matches the Rfam family "Archaeal small subunit ribosomal RNA", at positions 473 to 873 of the family's 1478-position model. The record is from RNAcentral.
ACACCGGCAGCUCAAGUGGUAGCCGCUUUUAUUGGGCCUAAAGCGUCCGUAGCCGGUCUGAUAAGUCUCUGGUGAAAUCCCACAGCUUAACUGUGGGAAUUGCUGGAGAUACUAUCAUGACUCGAGGUCGGGAGAGGCUGGAGGUACUCCCAGGGUAGGGGUGAAAUCCUGUAAUCCUGGGAGGACCACCUGUGGCGAAGGCGUCCAGCUGGAACGAACCUGACGGUGAGGGACGAAAGCCAGGGGCGCGAACCGGAUUAGAUGCCCGGGUAGUCCUGGCCGUAAACGAUGUGGACUUGGUGUUGGGAUGGCUUCGAGCUGCCCCAGUGCCGAAGGGAAGCUGUUAAGUCCACCGCCUGGGAAGUACGGCCGCAAGGCUGAAACUUAAAGGAAUUGACGGGG